UACGUAGGGGGCUAGCGUUGUCCGGAAUCAUUGGGCGUAAAGAGCGUGUAGGCGGCUCGGUAAGUCCGCUGUAAAAGUCAAAGGCUCAACCUUUGAAUGUCAGUGGAUACUGCCGGGCUAGAGUCCGGAAGAGGCGAGUGGAACUCCUGGUGUAGCGGUGGAAUGCGCAGAUAUCAGGAAGAACACCAACGGCGAAGGCAGCUCGCUGGGACGGUACUGACGCUGAGACGCGAAAGCUAGGGGAGCAAACGGG
Molecule: ribosomal RNA, 253 nt
Filed under: uncultured bacterium
Lineage: Bacteria
Description: partial 16S ribosomal RNA
Rfam family: Bacterial small subunit ribosomal RNA
Source: RNAcentral